Molecule: ribosomal RNA, 494 nt
Filed under: uncultured Paracoccaceae bacterium
Lineage: Bacteria; Pseudomonadati; Pseudomonadota; Alphaproteobacteria; Rhodobacterales; Paracoccaceae
Description: bacterial SSU rRNA
Rfam family: Bacterial small subunit ribosomal RNA
Source: RNAcentral
CCGCGUGAGUGAUGAAGGCCCUAGGGUCGUAARGCUCUUUCGCCAGGGAUGAUAAUGACAGUACCUGGUAAAGAAACCCCGGCUAACUCCGUGCCAGCAGCCGCGGUAAUACGGAGGGGGUUAGCGUUGUUCGGAAUUACUGGGCGUAAAGCGUACGUAGGCGGAUUGGAAAGUUGGGGGUGAAAUCCCGGGGCUCAACCCCGGAACUGCCUCCAAAACUCCCAGUCUAGAGUUCGAGAGAGGUGAGUGGAAUUCCGAGUGUAGAGGUGAAAUUCGUAGAUAUUCGGAGGAACACCAGUGGCGAAGGCGGCUCACUGGCUCGAUACUGACGCUGAGGUACGAAAGUGUGGGGAGCAAACAGGAUUAGAUACCCUGGUAGUCCACACCGUAAACGAUGAAUGCCAGUCGUCGGGUAGCAUGCUAUUCGGUGACACACCUAACGGAUUAAGCAUUCCGCCUGGGGAGUACGGUCGCAAGAUUAAAACUCAAAUGAA